RNAcentral lists this long non-coding RNA (227 nucleotides) under Neogobius melanostomus (round goby). Its description in RNAcentral is "lncRNA (ENSNMLG00000007325.1)". Lineage: Eukaryota; Metazoa; Chordata; Actinopteri; Gobiiformes; Gobiidae. The record is from RNAcentral.
GGGACGUAUUGUGAGUUAAGCAACGGAGAGCCAAGAACAUCCCAGUGAGGAGUUUGAAAACCACAGAUGCUUCAGCAGCCACCCCCAGCACAGACUGUUCAAGAGUCUCCUGAUUUCUCUGGUGAAAAAUCGUUUGUGCAGUGAAUGGCUUGACACAGCUGCACCAGAGUCUGUCCUCAAAGUUCUGACCUGCCUCCGAAUACUGGUCCGAGACACCGAGCUUCAGG